Molecule: long non-coding RNA, 4930 nt
Organism: Sciurus carolinensis (gray squirrel)
Lineage: Eukaryota; Metazoa; Chordata; Mammalia; Rodentia; Sciuridae
Exons: 4
Source: RefSeq, a predicted model, not a curated record
UAAACCAAAUGCUGAAUGUUCUCUCUGCUAUAUGGAUACUAACACACAAUAAGAGUGGCUUAUGUUUGAAACUGUACUCAGAAACAUUUUGAGAAGAUCUAUGUUUUAUGGAGUAAGUUAGUUUUUAAAAACAGGAAGGCAGAAGAAGUUGGAUAUAUGUCAUGAAACAGGUUUUGAUGCCUUGAAUGCCCUGAUGGAUAAACUCCAUCUGAGUCUGACUCCUAGAAAACCUAAAUCAUGACAACAAUUUUAUGACAUCUUUAGCUUUGGGAACAAAGCCAUCAACACAGAAUUUUAUGUGAAGGAAAAUUCUCUGUUAAACGGGAAAGCAAAGAUAUUCCCAGAAUUAUCAAGGUCACGAAAAUAAAGGAAAGAUUAAAGAACUAUUAAGGAACUAAAAUCUAUGCCAGAUUGGAGGAAAUUUAAAAUAUAUGGCAAACAAAUGCAACAUGUGAUUAUGAACUGCUCCUUUUGUUAUUAAAGACAGUUUUGAGACAACUGAUGAAAUUUAAAUGGGUAGAAGGAUUAAAUAUAUUAAUGGUAAUUUCUUGAUUCUGAUGGUGUUAGUGUGACCAUGCAGGAAAAUGUCUUUGUCCAAGGAAAUUUAUACAAGUAUUUUCCAGUAAAGCUGGUGGUUUUUUAGCUUUCUCUUGUUUGCUAAGUAACUUACAAUUCCACCAUCUGUUUUCCAGUUUCCAAUUUUUAUUUUUUGGUUUAUUUUAAUCAGUGCUCCUUAUCUAUUGUUUUCCUUUCAUGCUCUCUCUUGUUUUUUUUUUUUUUGUGGUUAUGUAUUUUCAGUCCUUUAAUAUUUUUUGUUUGGUUUCAGGAAUGAGUAGACAAAAAUGCUUCUAUUUAAUCUAGAAGAAAAACUAGAAAUCCCUCUGUGGUUUCCUAAAAGGUAGUGAGAUUUGGAGAGGUAGAGUGGAAAGAGGGUAUCAUAACAGAAGAAAAGCAGCAGCUAGAGAGAGGAGACAAAUACAAAAUACCUAGAUAUCAUUAUUUAAACGCAAUCUUACUACUUUAUAUUCUUAUAUAUGAAUCCCUAAUUAGCAUUCCUAUUUAAUUACUCUGCAGAGAAGGUAAAAAAUUUUUGCUCAAACCCAUGUGGAUUAUUAUAAAGUAAUCUGUGCAUUACUGCUGCUUAAAAGUCAGUUCUCAACAAAAGAUUAGCAUAUCAAAUCCAAGAAUGUAUAAAAAGUACACUAUGUACGUGAAGGAUUUAUUCCAGGUGUGCAAGCUAAUUUAAUUUUUAAAUCAAUCAACGUAAUUUAUCACAUGAACAAGCUAAAGAAGAAGUCAUGAUUAUAUCAACAGAUGCAGAAAAACAGUUUGACAAAAUCUAGCUCUCAUCCAUGAUAAAAACUCUCAACAAACUAGAAACAGAAGAGACUUAAUCUAGAAUAUCUACAAAACCCACAGCUAACAUCAUACUUAAUGUUGAGAAGCUAGUGGCUUUCCCACUAAGAUCAGGAACAAGUCUAGUAUGUCUGCACUCACCACUCCUGUUUAACAUUGUCCUGGAAAUUCUAGUUAAUGCCAAGACAAGAAAAUGAACUUAAAGGUCUACAGAUUGGGAGGCAAAAAGUAAAACUGGCUUUGUUGGCAGAUGACAUGAUUGUUGAUAGAGAAAUCCCAAAGAAUCAACAACAAAAACUGGAACUAAUAAGUGAUUAUAGUAAGGUUGCAGGAUAUAAGGUUAAUAUACAAAGUCAACUGUGUUCUUACUAGCAAUGAACAAGUGGAAUUUUAAAUACAUAAAAAACAUUUACAUUUGUGCCUGAAAGUGUAAUACUUAGCUAUAUAUUUAAGAAAACAUGCAUAAAUUCUAUAAUAGGAAAACUACAAAAUUCUGAUGAAAGAAAUGAAAGAUCAAUUAGAUUAGAUCAAUAGAGGACAUUUUAUGCACAUAAAUAGGAAGGCUCAUCAUUGUCAAGCUGUCAUUUUUUUCUGACUUUUGAACUAUAGACACAAUGCAUUCCUAAAGAAUAGAGAACACAGAAAUAGAUCCACACAGCUUCAGCAAAGGAGUAAAAGCAAUUUGAUGGAGAAAGAACAAUUUUUUCAACAGAUGGUACUGGAACAACUGGACAUCUACGUGCAAAACCAAAAAGUCAUUCUAGACAUUUUUCACACUUUUUACAAAAGUUAGCUCAAAAUGAAUCAUGGACCUAAACAUAAAACACAAAACUAUAAAACUUCUAGACAGUAAUAUUGAAGAAAAUCUAAGUGAUCCUGGGUUUGUAAGAACUUUUCAGACACGACGCCAAAAGCAAAAUCCAUGAAAGAAAAAACUUGUAAGUUGAACUUCAUUAAAAGUUUGAAAAAAAAAAGGCUGGGGUCAUAGCUUAGUGGUAGAGCGCUUGCCUAGCACAUAUGGGGUACUGGGUUCGAUCCUUGGCACCACAUAAAAAUAAAGGUAUUGUGCCCAUCUACAACGAAUUUUUUUAAGUUAAAAAAAAAACCUCGUUUUGUAAAAGACAGCUUCAGACAAUGAAAUGACAAGGCAUAUACUGAGAGUAAAAAACCUUUGCAUAUACCUAUCUAAUCAAAACCUGAUAUUCGAAAUGUAUAUAGAACUCUUAAAACAAGAAAACAAUCUGAAUGAAAAAUAGGAAAAAGACCUGAACAGCUCACCAAAGAAAACACAGAUGACAAGCAUUUGAAGAGAUGUUCAACAUUAUAUGUAAUUAAGGAAUUACAAAUUUAGAUAACAAUGAGAUUAUUCUACACAUCUACUACACUAGCAGCACCAAAUCUGGUGAGGACAUAGAGCAACAGAAACUCUCAUUUAUUGUUGGUUAAAAUAGAAAAUAACAUGGCCACUUUAAAAGACAAUUUGGCAGUUUGUUACACACUAAACAUUCUUAACAUAUGAUCCAGCAACCAUACUCCAAUGAGUUAAAAAUUUAUAUCCACAUAAAAAUCUGUACACAAAUAUUUGUAACUGUUUGUCAAAACUUGGAAAAAACCAAGAUGUCCUUCAACAGGUGAAUGAAUAAACCUGUGAUAUAACCAUAAAAUGGGAUAUUAUUCAACGAUGGAAGGAAAUGAGCUGUUAAGCCUCACACCCCACAAAACAGAACUUCAGUUACAUACCACUAAGUCAAAGAAGCCAAUCUGAAAAGUUCGCUGUAUAAUUCCAACUAUCUGACAUUCUAGAAAAGGCAAAAGUACGAAGACAAAAAGAUCCAUGGUUGCCGAGGGAAAGAUGGGUGAAUGGGUGGACCACUGCGGAUUUUAGGGCAGUAAGACUGCCAUAUAUGAUAUGGGUGCGUGAAGUUAUACACUUGUCAAAACCCAUAAAAUAUGCAAAAAAAUGUAGUUUACCUGAAUGUAAACUACAGAUUUAGUUAAUAAUGUAUUCAUAUUGGCUUUAUUAUAGAAUGUGUACUACACUAAUGCAAGAUGUUAAUAGGGAAAAUGGAAACAGGGUAAGAGGAACUCUAAUUUCUGCUUAUUUUUCUGUAAAGCUCAAACUGCUCUAAAAUAUAGUAUUAAAUAAAAAUUUUAAUAGAAUAAAUUAAAAAUCAAUUUUAUGGGGAACUUUUUGCAGUAAUAGAAAUGUCUAUACCUUGACCAGUUGGUAAUUAUAUAUAUAUAUAUGUAUACAUUCAUCAAAAUUCAUUUAUUUAUACACUUAAUACGUUUCACUAUGCAAGUUUACACUUCUUGGUAUGUAAAUUUUACCUCAGUAGUAGAGAUCAACUCUGUAUUGUCAUUUGUUGCUUAGUUUGGCUAUAGUCAACCAAAGGCAUCACUGAAAAUCUGAAAGGAAGCAGGACCCACCUAUAAUUUGAGUGUAUUUGGCCUUGAGGAGAAAUAAAGAGGCAUUGCCAUGUUCUUAAGUGACUCAAUAGUUGGAGAAUAUCUCUCUCAAAUGUAUUCUCUAGCAGAGCUGGUCUUCUUUCAGAUUAACUUACAUGCAGAGGGAAAAAUUCUAGUUCCAGGUUUCAUAUCUCAUAUCUUUUGUUAACAUCUCAUUAUAUCUUUUCUUUCAGAUUUAGUCAUAAGUGAAGUUAGAUCUGAACCCACACAUCAAAGAAAUAUUGGUAGAGAAGCUUUGUUGUGAGCUUGUUUUCGAAUGAGGUGGGAGGUCUGGUAGGCAGAGAGGUAAGGGAUUCAUGACAGCAUGAGCGGCCAUGGUGUGCAGAUGAAUGCUAGUAUGUGGGAGAGAAAGAGCUGACUGGCUCUGUGAGUGAAGGUUUGUAUUCAGAAGCUGUGAGAAAUAAGUCCUUAAAUGUAAGAAUGAGAAAUUUGGGUUUGGUCCCAUAAUCUGGGAGGAACUGGGAAAAGAUAUAUUUGACUCUCUCUCUCCCAUGCUCAGAGGUUCAGGGACCUUGACUUGUUUCAUGACUGUGAUGGCUAAUUUUAUAUGCCAAUUUUAGGCUGUGGUAUCCAGUUGUUGACUAAACACCAGUUUAAAUAUUAUGAAGGUGUUUUUAAAAUGUGACUAAUGUUCAAAUGAGAAGACUUUGGGUAAAGCAAAUUACCUUCCAUAAUGUAAGUGGGCCUCAUUCAAUCAGAUGAAGACCUUAAGAAAAGAAGACUGAGGCCCCUGAAGAGAAGGGAAUUCUGCUUCCAGACUGUCUUCAGACUUGCUUUUAACAUCAACUCUUCCCUGAGCCUGUUGGCCUGCCUUGCAGAUUUUAGACUUGCCAGCCCCUAUUACUCUCCUUAAAAUCUCAAUCAAUGUCCCUUCUUCUAUGUUUAUCCUAUUAGUUUUCUUUAUCUGGAGAAACUUGACUGAUACCAUGACUAAUUAUCCACUGCAAGCUCUAAUACCAUCUUGCCUCCUCCCUACCCUCAACCAAAAUCAGUGAAUCCUCAAUUUAUAGAGAAGUAGACAAUUUUACAUUAUUGUGUUAUUUAUGUGAAGUGGGGUCUUUGUAUAUCUCUUAAUAAUCAUAAUACUUUCAAAUCAAAAUAAAAG